This 453-nucleotide ribosomal RNA is filed under the name uncultured bacterium. RNAcentral describes it as "bacterial SSU rRNA". It matches the Rfam family "Bacterial small subunit ribosomal RNA", at positions 340 to 786 of the family's 1533-position model. The record is from RNAcentral.
UACGGAAGGCAGCAGUGGGGAAUAUUGCACAAUGGGCGCAAGCCUGAUGCAGCCAUGCCGCGUGUAUGAAAAAGGCCUUCGGGUUGUAAAGUACUUUCAGUCGUGAGGAAGGUGUUAAGGUUAAUAACCUUAGCAAUUGACGUUAGCGACAGAAGAAGCACCGGCUAACUCCGUGCCAGCAGCCGCGGUAAUACGGAGGGUGCGAGCGUUAAUCGGAAUUACUGGGCGUAAAGGGCACGCAGGCGGUUAAUUAAGUUGGAUGUGAAAUCCCCGGGCUUAACCUGGGAAUGGCAUUCAAGACUGGUUAGCUAGAGUCUUGUAGAGGGGGUAGAAUUCCAUGUGUAGCGGUGAAAUGCGUAGAGAUGUGGAGGAAUACCGGUGGCGAAGGCGGCCCCUGGACAAAGACUGACGCUCAUGCGCGAAAGCGUGGGGAGCAAACAGGGAUUAGAUACC